Molecule: ribosomal RNA, 416 nt
Filed under: uncultured bacterium
Lineage: Bacteria
Description: bacterial SSU rRNA
Rfam family: Bacterial small subunit ribosomal RNA
Source: RNAcentral
GGCCGCGGGAAUUCGAUUCAGGCCUAACACAUGCAAGUCGAGCGAUCUUCUUCGGAAGAGAGCGGCGGACGGGUGAGUAACGCGUGGGUAACCUGCCCUGUACACACGGAUAACAUACCGAAAGGUAUGCUAAUACGAGAUAAUAUGCUUUUAUCGCAUGGUAGAAGUAUCAAAGCUCCGGCGGUACAGGAUGGACCCGCGUCUGAUUAGCUAGUUGGUGAGGUAACGGCUCACCAAGGCAACGAUCAGUAGCCGACCUGAGAGGGUGAUCGGCCACAUUGGAACUAAGACACGGUCCAAACUCCUACGGGAGGCAGCAGUGGGGAAUAUUUCAAAAGGGGCGAAAGCCUGAUGCAGCAACGCCGCGUGACUUUAAGAGGCCUUCGGGUCGUAAAGCUCUGUCCUCAAGGAAGAUA